This 256-nucleotide ribosomal RNA is filed under the name uncultured bacterium. Its description in RNAcentral is "partial 16S ribosomal RNA". It matches the Rfam family "Bacterial small subunit ribosomal RNA", at positions 524 to 776 of the family's 1533-position model. The record is from RNAcentral.
UACGUAGGUGGCAAGCGUUUGUCCGGAUUUAUUGGGUUUAAAGGGUGCGUAGGCGGCCUUGUAAGUCAGUGGUGAAAUACUCCAGCUUAACUGGAGGGGUGCCAAUGAUACUGCAGGGCUUGAGUACAGAUGAGGUAGGCGGAAUUGACGGUGUAGCGGUGAAAUGCAUAGAUAUCGUCAAGAACACCGAUAGCGAAGGCAGCUUACUGGGCUGUAAACUGACGCUGAGGCACGAAAGUGUGGGGGAUCAAACAGG